This 254-nucleotide ribosomal RNA is filed under the name uncultured bacterium. RNAcentral describes it as "partial 16S ribosomal RNA". It matches the Rfam family "Bacterial small subunit ribosomal RNA", at positions 524 to 776 of the family's 1533-position model. The record is from RNAcentral.
UACGUAGGCAGCGAGCGUUGUUCGGAGUUACUGGGCGUAAAGCGUGCGUAGGCGGUUUUCUAAGUCUGGUGUGAAAUCUCCCGGCUCAACUGGGAGGGUGCGCUAGAAACUGGAAGGCUCAGAGUGUGGGAGAGGUAGGCGGAAUUCCUGGUGUAGCGGUGAAAUGCGUAGAUAUCAGGAGGAACACCUGUGGUGUAGACGGCUUACUGGACCAUGACUGACGCUGAGGCACGAAAGCGUGGGGAGCAAACAGG